RNAcentral lists this ribosomal RNA (298 nucleotides) under uncultured Eubacteriales bacterium. RNAcentral's name for it is "uncultured Clostridiales bacterium partial 16S ribosomal RNA". It matches the Rfam family "Bacterial small subunit ribosomal RNA", at positions 49 to 339 of the family's 1533-position model. The record is from RNAcentral. Lineage: Bacteria; Bacillati; Bacillota; Clostridia; Eubacteriales.
UAACACAUGCAAGUCGAGCGGGAACGGAUGGUAGUUUGCUACCGUUUGUUUCUAGCGGCGGACGGGUGAGUAACGCGUGAGCAACCUGCCUUUAUCAGGGGGAUAACACACCGAAAGGUGUACUAAUACCGCAUAAGACCACGGGAUCACAUGGUUCUGGGGUAAAAGAUUUAUCGGUUUGGGGUGGGCUCGCGUCCGAUUAGGUAGUUGGUGAGGUAACGGCCCACCAAGCCGACGAUCGGUAGCCGACCUGAGAGGGUGAUCGGCCACAUUGGGACUGAGACACGGCCCAAACUCC